This 482-nucleotide ribosomal RNA is filed under the name uncultured bacterium. Its description in RNAcentral is "partial 16S ribosomal RNA". It matches the Rfam family "Bacterial small subunit ribosomal RNA", at positions 28 to 507 of the family's 1533-position model. The record is from RNAcentral.
GACGAACGCUGGCGGCGUGCUUAGCACAUGCAAGUCGAACGCUGAAGCUCAGCUUGCUGGGUGGAUGAGUGGCGAACGGGUGAGUAACACGUGAGUAACCUGCCCUCUUCUUUGGGAUAACGCCCGGAAACGGGUGCUAAUACUGGAUAUUCACUGAUUCUCGCAUGGGGGUUGGUGGAAAGGUUUUUUCUGGUGGGGGAUGGGCUCGCGGCCUAUCAGCUUGUUGGUGGGGUGAUGGCCUACCAAGGCUUUGACGGGUAGCCGGCCUGAGAGGGUGACCGGUCACAUUGGGACUGAGAUACGGCCCAGACUCCUACGGGAGGCAGCAGUGGGGAAUAUUGCACAAUGGGCGAAAGCCUGAUGCAGCGACGCCGCGUGAGGGAUGGAGGCCUUCGGGUUGUAAACCUCUUUCGCUCAUGGUCAAGCCGCAGCUUGGGGUUGUGGUGAGGGUAGUGGGUAAAGAAGCGCCGGCUAACUACGUG